This 453-nucleotide ribosomal RNA is filed under the name Hypostomus commersoni. Its description in RNAcentral is "partial 16S ribosomal RNA". It matches the Rfam family "Bacterial large subunit ribosomal RNA", at positions 1936 to 2548 of the family's 2925-position model. Lineage: Eukaryota; Metazoa; Chordata; Actinopteri; Siluriformes; Loricariidae. The record is from RNAcentral.
GUAUUUUGACCGUGCAAAGGUAGCGCAAUCACUUGUCUUUUAAAUGAAGACCUGUAUGAAUGGUGGAACGAGGGCUUAACUGUCUCCCCCUUCUAGUCAAUGAAAUUGAUCUACCCGUGCAGAAGCGGGUAUAACAAUACAAGACGAGAAGACCCUUUGGAGCUUAAGAUAAAAAACCAACUAUGUCAAAAGUCCUAAAAAAGACUAAACCAAAUAGUACUGGUCCCAAUCUUCGGUUGGGGCGACCACGGGAGAAAACAAAGCUCCCAUGCGGAUUGGGGUAAUUCCCUAAAACUAAGAGAGACAUCUCUAAGACGCAGAACAUCUGACCAUAAAGAUCCGGCUACAUGCCGACCAACGGACCAAGUUACCCUAGGGAUAACAGCGCAAUCCCCUUCCAGAGUCCAUAUCGACAAGGGGGUUUACGACCUCGAUGUUGGAUCAGGACAUCCU